This 68-nucleotide transfer RNA is filed under the name Sarcophilus harrisii (Tasmanian devil). It matches the Rfam family "tRNA". Rfam says of the family: Transfer RNA (tRNA) molecules are approximately 80 nucleotides in length. Their secondary structure includes four short double-helical elements and three loops (D, anti-codon, and T loops). The record is from Rfam by way of RNAcentral. Lineage: Eukaryota; Metazoa; Chordata; Mammalia; Dasyuromorphia; Dasyuridae.
GAUGAUGUAGUUGAGAAAACACUAGAUAUGGAAAACAGAGGGUCUGAGUUUGAAUCUCAGCUUUAUUC